GGAUGUGAGGGCGAUCUGGCUGAGACAUCAAACCUGGUUUGCUAGGUUUGAUCUGGCUGAUCUGGCUGGCUAGCCUCGUGCCCCACCCUCAGCUCUGCAUGUGCAUCUCUCCCAAAGCUGUGCUCUGGGUUGAAGAGGAUGGUCGCUCCUGGUAGAGGGGACCAUUUCCUUGGUCAAGGGUACAUGAGCAGCUGUGCUCCCCUGCUAGAAUUUCCAAACAAGCUCUCAAAGAAAUAACAUGAAGAAUAGAAAGUGGGAUUCUAUCAUAUUAAAAAGCUACUGU
Molecule: unclassified non-coding RNA, 283 nt
Organism: Fukomys damarensis (Damara mole-rat)
Lineage: Eukaryota; Metazoa; Chordata; Mammalia; Rodentia; Bathyergidae
Gene: 7SK
Rfam family: 7SK RNA
About the family: 7SK was discovered as an abundant small nuclear RNA in the mid-70s but a possible function has only recently been suggested. Two independent studies have found that 7SK RNA binds the CDK9/cyclin T complex (known as elongation factor P-TEFb). P-TEFb activates transcription by phosphorylating the C-terminal domain of RNA polymerase II.
Source: Ensembl